This 450-nucleotide ribosomal RNA is filed under the name uncultured bacterium. RNAcentral describes it as "partial 16S ribosomal RNA". It matches the Rfam family "Bacterial small subunit ribosomal RNA", at positions 354 to 796 of the family's 1533-position model. The record is from RNAcentral.
GUGGGGAAUAUUCCGCAAUGGACGAAAGUCUGACGGAGCAACGCCGCGUGAGUGAUGAAGGUUUUCGGACUGUAAAGCUCUGUUGUUUAGGACGAAAGUGCCUGUUGCGAACAGUUACAGGUAUUGACGGUACUAAACGAGGAAGCCACGGCUAACUACGUGCCAGCAGCCGCGGUAAUACGUAGGUGGCAAGCGUUGUCCGGAAUUAUUGGUCGUAAAGAGCAUGUAGGCGGAGAUUUAAGUCUGUUGUGAAAAUGCGGGGCUCAACCCCGUAUUGCGAUGGAAACUGAAUUUCUUGAGUGCAGGAGAGGAAAGGGGAAUUCCCAGUGUAGCGGUGAAAUGCGUAGAUAUUGGGAGGAACACCAGUGGCGAAGGCGCCUUUCUGGACUGUGUCUGACGCUGAGAUGCGAAAGCCAGGGUAGCGAACGGGAUUAGAAACCCUGGUAGUCC